UAGACAACAGGGAUUGCCUCAGUAACGGCGAGUGAAGCGGCAAUAGCUCAAAUUUGAAAUCUGGCUCUUUUAGGGUCCGAGUUGUAAUUUGCAGAGGGCGCUUUGGCGUUGGCAGCGGUCCAAGUUCUUUGGAACAGGACGUCACAGAGGGUGAGAAUCCCGUACGUGGUCGCUAUCCUUCGCCGUGUAAAGCCCCUUCGACGAGUCGAGUUGUUUGGGAAUGCAGCUCUAAAUGGGAGGUAAAUUUCUUCUAAAGCUAAAUACUGGCCAGAGACCGAUAGCGCACAAGUAGAGUGAUCGAAAGAUGAAAAGCACUUUGGAAAGAGAGUCAAAUAGCACGUGAAAUUGUUGAAAGGGAAGCGCUUGCAGCCAGACUUGCCUGUAGUUGCUUAUCCAGACUUUUGUCUGGUGCACUCUUCUGCGGGCAGGCCAGCAUCAGUUUGGGCGGUUAGAUAAAGGUCUCUGUCAUGUACCUCUCUUCGGGGAGGCCUUAUAGGGGAGACGACAUGUAACCAGCCUGGACUGAGGUCCGCGCAUCUGCUAGGAUGCUGGCGUAAUGGCUGUAAGCGGCCCGUCUUGAAACACGGACCAAGGAGUCUAACAUCUAUGCGAGUGUUUGGGUGUCAAGCCCAGACGCGUAAUGAAAGUAAACGGAGGUAAGAACCCUUUGGGUGCAUUAUCGACCGAUCCUGAUGUCUUCGGAAGGAUUUGAGUAAGAGCAUGGCUGUUGGGACCCGAAAGAUGGUGAACUAUGCUUGAAUAGGGUGAAGCCAGAGGAAACUCUGGUGGAGGCUCGCAGCGGUUCUGACGUGCAAAUCGAUCGUC
Molecule: ribosomal RNA, 825 nt
Filed under: Nodulosphaeria aquilegiae
Lineage: Eukaryota; Fungi; Ascomycota; Dothideomycetes; Pleosporales; Phaeosphaeriaceae
Description: partial 28S ribosomal RNA
Rfam family: Eukaryotic large subunit ribosomal RNA
Source: RNAcentral